UAAUACGUAGGGGGCAAGCGUUGUCCGGAAUUACUGGGCGUAAAGCGCGUGUAGGCGGGACGGUAAGUCGGACGUGAAAGGCUCGGGCUCAACCCGAGAAGGCCGUUCGAAACUGCCGUUCUUGAGGGUCGAAGAGGAGAGUGGAAUUCCUGGUGUAGCGGUGAAAUGCGUAGAGAUCAGGAGGAACACCCGUGGCGAAGGCGGCUCUCUGGUCGGCCUCUGACGCUGAGACGCGAAAGCGUGGGGAGCGAACGGGAUUAGAUACCCCGGUAGUCCACGCCGUAAACGAUGGUCACUAGGUGUAAGCGGUAUCGACCCCGCUUGUGCCGCAGCUAACGCAAUAAGUGACCCGCCUGGGGAGUACGGCCGCAAGGUUG
Molecule: ribosomal RNA, 377 nt
Filed under: uncultured bacterium
Lineage: Bacteria
Description: bacterial SSU rRNA
Rfam family: Bacterial small subunit ribosomal RNA
Source: RNAcentral